This 234-nucleotide transfer-messenger RNA is filed under the name Bartonella clarridgeiae. Its description in RNAcentral is "partial ssrA". It matches the Rfam family "Alphaproteobacteria transfer-messenger RNA", at positions 122 to 355 of the family's 355-position model. From Rfam's summary of the family: Bacterial tmRNA, also known as 10Sa RNA or SsrA, is named for its dual tRNA and mRNA-like properties. Its role is to liberate the mRNA from a stalled ribosome. To accomplish this part of the tmRNA is used as a reading frame that ends in a translation stop signal. The record is from RNAcentral. Lineage: Bacteria; Pseudomonadati; Pseudomonadota; Alphaproteobacteria; Hyphomicrobiales; Bartonellaceae.
GUAUAAUCACAAAGAUAUAUUUUUAUGGGGGCGAAACAGGAUCGACAAGGGGUGUAAAGAUUGCUCUUUUACUCGGCAUUGUACCACCGUUAUCGGGCUAGAUGAAUAGUUGCAAAUGACAACUAUGCGGAGGCACGUCUCAUCGCUGCUUAAGCGAUGCGAAGGCUUCAAAUUAAGUCUUAAACCGUCGCAGGUUUAAGCGGGGUUCGAAGGCACCUGGAAACAGAAGCCAGA